GGGCGUAAGGGCUCGCAGGCGGUUUCUUAAGUCUGAUGUGAAAGCCCCCGGCUCAACCGGGGAGGGUCAUUGGAAACUGGGAAACUUGAGUGCAGAAGAGGAGAGUGGAAUUCCACGUGUAGCGGUGAAAUGCGUAGAGAUGUGGAGGAACACCAGUGGCGAAGGCGACUCUCUGGUCUGUAACUGACGCUGAGGAGCGAAAGCGUGGGGAGCGAACAGGAUUAGAUACCCUGGUAGUCCACGCCGUAAACGAUGAGUGCUAAGUGUUAGGGGGUUUCCGCCCCUUAGUGCUGCAGCUAACGCAUUAAGCACUCCGCCUGGGGAGUACGGUCGCAAGACUGAAACUCAAAGGAAUUGACGGGGGCCCGCACAAGCGGUGGAGCAUGUGGUUUAAUUCGAAGCAACGCGAAGAACCUUACCAGGUCUUGACAUCCUCUGACAACCCUAGAGAUAGGGCUUUCCCUUCGGGGACAGAGUGACAGGUGGUGCAUGGUUGUCGUCAGCUCGUGUCGUGAGAUGUUGGGUUAAGUCCCGCAACGAGCGCAACCCUUGAUCUUAGUUGCCAGCAUUUAGUUGGGCACUCUAAGGUGACUGCCGGUGACAAACCGGAGGAAGGUGGGGAUGACGU
This 628-nucleotide ribosomal RNA is filed under the name Bacillus pumilus. Its description in RNAcentral is "bacterial SSU rRNA". It matches the Rfam family "Bacterial small subunit ribosomal RNA", at positions 556 to 1185 of the family's 1533-position model. Lineage: Bacteria; Bacillati; Bacillota; Bacilli; Caryophanales; Bacillaceae. The record is from RNAcentral.